GCAGGCAGCUAGCUCUCUGCAACUCUCACAUGGUCACAAUCUGAAGCUAAGCAGGGCUGCGGUCAGUACCUGAAUGGGAGACCACAUGGGAAAGCUAGGUUGCUGCCAGAA
This 111-nucleotide ribosomal RNA is filed under the name Danio rerio (zebrafish). Lineage: Eukaryota; Metazoa; Chordata; Actinopteri; Cypriniformes; Danionidae. The record is from RNAcentral.